RNAcentral lists this ribosomal RNA (253 nucleotides) under uncultured bacterium. RNAcentral's name for it is "partial 16S ribosomal RNA". It matches the Rfam family "Bacterial small subunit ribosomal RNA", at positions 524 to 776 of the family's 1533-position model. The record is from RNAcentral.
UACGGAGGGUGCGAGCGUUGUCCGGAAUCACUGGGCGUAAAGGGCGCGUAGGCGGCGCGACAAGUCAAUGGUGAAAGCCCGAGGCUCAACUUCGGGUCGGCCACUGAUACUGUUGGGCUUGAGCACUGUAGAGGCAGGUGGAAUUCCGGGUGUAGCGGUGGAAUGCGUAGAGAUCCGGAAGAACACCGGUGGCGAAGGCGGCCUGCUGGGCAGUAGCUGACGCUGAGGUGCGAAAGCGUGGGGAGCAAACAGG